RNAcentral lists this ribosomal RNA (303 nucleotides) under uncultured Fusobacterium sp. RNAcentral describes it as "bacterial SSU rRNA". It matches the Rfam family "Bacterial small subunit ribosomal RNA", at positions 1212 to 1513 of the family's 1533-position model. Lineage: Bacteria; Fusobacteriati; Fusobacteriota; Fusobacteriia; Fusobacteriales; Fusobacteriaceae. The record is from RNAcentral.
GGCUACACACGUGCUACAAUGGGUAGAACAGAGAGUUGCAAAGCCGUGAGGUGAAGCUAAUCUCAGAAAACUAUUCUUAGUUCGGAUUGUACUCUGCAACUCGAGUACAUGAAGUUGGAAUCGCUAGUAAUCGCGAAUCAGCAAUGUCGCGGUGAAUACGUUCUCGGGCCUUGUACACACCGCCCGUCACACCACGAGAGUUGGUUGCACCUGAAGUAGCAGGCCUAACCGUAAGGAAGGAUGCUCCGAGGGUGUGAUUAGCGAUUGGGGUGAAGUCGUAACAAGGUAUCCGUACGGGAACGU